This 702-nucleotide long non-coding RNA is filed under the name Panax ginseng (ginseng). RNAcentral describes it as "long non-coding RNA (PGIN_LNC011229)". The record is from RNAcentral. Lineage: Eukaryota; Viridiplantae; Streptophyta; Magnoliopsida; Apiales; Araliaceae.
UUGUAACAAAUUAAUUUAAGGGAUCUUCAUCUUCUUUAAGUUCUCAUACAUACACUGACAUACUAGUAAAUUGAAAGAUUAAAUAGUGUAUUACAAAAGAGUUAGAAUACGUACUGAUCGAAAGUCUAGUACUAGUUUAAUUAAGUACAAUUAAUAUUAAAUAUAUCCAGGAGGCAGGCAGGCAGGCAGCAAUUUUGUGGUUAUUUGAUCUUCCUGUUCCUGACUACAGCAGCAUAUACAGCCCCAAAUAUUACUACAACUGCCGCAGAUAUUAGAAGGGCUGAUUUCAAAUUUUCAACUCCAUCAUUUUCAGCUUUCUUUCUUGCUUCUUUUUUGGCUUCAUCCGCUUCUUCCUUCAAUACAACAAACAAAAUAUAUCAUCAAUCAAUCAAUAUUAUAUAUAUAUAUAGUACCCCAUCCGGAAAAUUUGAGACUUGAGUUUUAUAAAUUCAAGAUAAAUAAAUAUAAGAAGAACAAAAUAUAAUAUAAACUAAUAGUGGUAAAUUAAUAAAAUUACCUUGAAGUGUUUAGAAGUAGUAAAAUCAUGAGGAGCAACCUGAAAAUCGGAACUAAUCUCUGGCUCUAAUUCUCCAUCCUGAUUGUCAACGUCGGGGACAACAUCAGUCGCUGCAGAAGUUUCCAUUAUUUGCUUCUGUUCGCCGGAAUAUUAAAGUUUCUUCUUGUAAAGAUGCUACAAUAUUA